Molecule: long non-coding RNA, 493 nt
Filed under: Olea europaea subsp. europaea
Lineage: Eukaryota; Viridiplantae; Streptophyta; Magnoliopsida; Lamiales; Oleaceae
Source: RNAcentral
CUCCAAUGCACUAAGGGCCCCUUUGAUAUCAUAACGUUACCAAUAGUUGUGCACUGCCUGGCAAAGAGGCGAAAUCUGAUUAAACGGUCUUAUAGCUAAAUUCCAACCACAUUCUUCUAAGACAAGAAACCAUUUUCCAAAAUAUAAUAAUCAAAAGAUUAAUAAGGAGAAUUUCUUCAAACAUCUUACACUUUAUGCAUAUAAUUUACAGAACUUGAUUCGAGAAUGAAAAAGUAUCCAGGAAACAAAAUAUAAGACUGAUUCCCUCCUUUAGUAUUAAAUGCAUUUAAACUUCCAGCAAUAUUUGUUGUAUUGAUCCUCAAUCACAUUUGGUAGUUCAUUCGAUUCGGACCAUCCAGAUCUUCUAUCAUAACAUGCAACAUCAUAUUUAAGAAAAUGGUAUCAACUAAAUGUCCCCAACAUUCUGCAUCAUAGUUUUAGCAGUCCCAAAGAAGGGACGAUGACAUCUCCCCCUUUUUUGUACCUUACUUUU